Molecule: small RNA, 78 nt
Filed under: Flavobacterium saliperosum
Lineage: Bacteria; Pseudomonadati; Bacteroidota; Flavobacteriia; Flavobacteriales; Flavobacteriaceae
Description: Flavo-1 RNA
Rfam family: Flavo-1 RNA
Source: RNAcentral
GUUUAACCCUGAUGGGAGCGGCAUCCUUUUCAGGUUGUAAAACAAUCUGAAAAGAUAUAGCGGACAGCAGGAACAUGG